AACGUAGGAGACAAACGUUAUCCGGAGUUACUGGGCGUAAAGGGCGUGUAGGUGGUUUUGUAAGUCUGGCGUGAAAUUUUUCGGCUUAACCGGGAAAGGUCGUCGGAUACUGCAGGGCUAGAGGACGGUAGAGGCGUGUGGAAUUCCGGGUGUAGUGGUGAAAUGCGUAGAGAUCCGGAGGAACACCAGUGGCGAAGGCGACACGCUGGGCCGUACCUGACACUGAUGCGCGACAGCAUGGGGAGCAAACAGG
This 253-nucleotide ribosomal RNA is filed under the name uncultured bacterium. RNAcentral's name for it is "partial 16S ribosomal RNA". It matches the Rfam family "Bacterial small subunit ribosomal RNA", at positions 524 to 776 of the family's 1533-position model. The record is from RNAcentral.